Paramuricea clavata is the source of this 246-nucleotide non-coding RNA. NCBI's taxonomy places the organism in Eukaryota, Metazoa, Cnidaria, Anthozoa, Malacalcyonacea, Plexauridae. The record is from the annotation of a GenBank genome assembly.
AAUGGAUUCUACUCGCGCAGUUUACUUAGUUUAGUCCAAAAACGUUUUUGUUAAUUAAGAAAAGAAGCCCAAUACAAAGACAUCACAUCCCCUUUCACUGAUCAGGUAUAUAAUUUAGUACGAAUAGUAGUACGAAUUAUAAGGAUAUUCACAGUAUAAUAUGCGCCUAAAAUUAAAAAAAAUCAACCUACUGCGUUCUAAAAACAAGACAUGAGGCAUUUUUCUUCAGUUUAAGUGGAAUAGUAG